CUGCUUCUUCUGUUACAACUGCUGCUUCUUCUGUUACAAGCUCAAAGUCAUGGGAAGAUUUCCGAAAGUAUCGCUCCCAGCAUCCAGGCCCUCUAUCUAUGAGGGCCUUCCAUCGCUGGUGUUUGUAUGGGGACGACCAUCCCUCCUUUAGAUGGAGGGAUGGCAAUCCAUACAACACGGGGAAUAGAGCGGAUGCUGGGAGGAGAAGACAACGUGGCUCAAAAGUUGUCAAUAAUUUUUUUUACAUUUUAAAAUGUAAAGAAAUUGACAACUUUUGAGCCACUUCAUUUUUUUUUUGUAAUAUAUUUUUGUAAAUUUAUUUUUGUGUUGUUUUUUAAUUUUUCCCAUGAAUGUUAAAUGUUAUCAAAGUAAAUCAUUUAAAUAAAGACACCUUUAUCAACAAUGCUCAUUAACUAGAAAUAAAAGUCACGGUCAUUCAUUUGAUAAAGUUAAUGUUAAUCUCAAAGGGAUUUGGUUUUCACACAAUCAAAUUCUAUGUAGCACCUUCCAGAACUAAGAAUAUAAGUGUGUGGUGUUAGUAGUUUAAAAUAUGUAUAAUAAACUCAGAAUAACUCAAUAACCCUCAACAAAACUAUGAACUAAUUUUGAAAUUCAAGUUGAGCUUUUUUAUUUAUUAAUACCUCCCCUCCCAAUAACUCUAAUUUUCCUUAAAAAACUAAUUUUUUUGUCCUUUGAAGGUGGUUCUGCUAUUUAAUUAAUUGUUGUGAUGUUUUAUGCAAAUAGAUUUAGCUCACAUUCAUGUUGGUCUGUCAGGAUAAUGUAAAAAUAAAAAAGUAAGUUUCUUAUUCGCAUUUUUGAGUUUUCAAAAGUAUUGAUUGCAUG
This is a non-coding RNA of Hydra vulgaris (swiftwater hydra), 843 nucleotides long. The record is from RefSeq and is a predicted model, not a curated record. Lineage: Eukaryota; Metazoa; Cnidaria; Hydrozoa; Anthoathecata; Hydridae.